UACGGGGGGGGCAAGCGUUGUUCGGAAUUAUUGGGCGUAAAGAGCUCGUAGGCGGUUUGUCGCGUCUGCCGUGAAAGUCCGGGGCUCAACUCCGGAUCUGCGGUGGGUACGGGCAGACUAGAGUGAUGUAGGGGAGACUGGAAUUCCUGGUGUAGCGGUGAAAUGCGCAGAUAUCAGGAGGAACACCGGUGGCGAAGGCGGUUCUCUGGGCCUGUACUGACGCUGAGGAGCGAAAGCGUGGGGAGCGAACAGG
Molecule: ribosomal RNA, 253 nt
Filed under: uncultured bacterium
Lineage: Bacteria
Description: partial 16S ribosomal RNA
Rfam family: Bacterial small subunit ribosomal RNA
Source: RNAcentral